CUCACCUCAUUCAUUUACCUUCUCUUAACGAUCACUUUUCUGCAUCGGACAGUGAUCUGUAAGAGAAAGUAAAUGAAUGAGGUGAG
Cercocebus atys (sooty mangabey) is the source of this 86-nucleotide microRNA precursor. NCBI's taxonomy places the organism in Eukaryota, Metazoa, Chordata, Mammalia, Primates, Cercopithecidae. The record is from Ensembl.